This 779-nucleotide ribosomal RNA is filed under the name uncultured Neocallimastigales. RNAcentral describes it as "partial large subunit ribosomal RNA". It matches the Rfam family "Eukaryotic large subunit ribosomal RNA", at positions 24 to 643 of the family's 3401-position model. Lineage: Eukaryota; Fungi; Neocallimastigomycota; Neocallimastigomycetes; Neocallimastigales. The record is from RNAcentral.
UAUCUCUGUAGAGUCUGCAUAUCAAUAAGCGGAGGAAAAGAAACUAACAAGGAUUCCCUUAGUAACGGCGAGUGAAGCGGGAAGAGCUCAAAUUUGAAAUCUUCAAGGUUCUACCUUGACGAAUUGUAGUUUAAAGAAGUGUUUUACUGUUGAAGUUAGGUAAAAGUUCCUUGGAAUAGGACAUCAUAGAGGGUGAGAAUCCCGUAUUUGACCGUUAUUUUCAGCUGUGUGAUACACUUUCAAAGAGUCGGAUUGUUUGGGAAUGCAGUCCAAAAUGGGUGGUAAAUUUCAUCUAAAGCUAAAUAUUGGCGAGAGACCGAUAGCGAACAAGUACCGUGAGGGAAAGAUGAAAAGAACUUUGAAAAGAGAGUUAAACAGUACGUGAAAUUGUCAAAAGGGAAGCGUUUGACACCAGUGUUGUUUUUCUCGAAAAUCAAUUACGAAUGGCUUGAUUCUGUGUUGUAUUGACCUUAUCAGCUUUCUUCACUUUUUUCGAGUCUUUCUUAAUGCACUUUUCGGUUAACAAGUCAACAUCAAUUUCUUUUGUUGUAAAAGAGUCAUUCGGAAGGUGGCUUUCACUUUCGGAUGAAAGUGUUUAUAGCCUUAUAGCUUCUACAAUCGGAGAGAUUGAGGUCUGCAGCGUAGAUCCUUCGGGGCUAGAUACGUAGAUGCUAAGUUAUAGUUUUUUAUAGACAACUUGUUGACUAUAAUUAAUCAUGUAGCUUACUCGUUUGCGCUAUUUUACCUACGCUUAGGAUGUUGAAGAUGUAGCACAUCAU